UAUCUGCAAAAAGAUCCAUUAAAAAUUGCUUUGUAUUUCCAAUACAAUUAAAAACAAUGGAGCCACACUAAAACUAUUACUAAUUAUUAUUAUGCAUAUAUAUGUAUAUAUUUUAUGCACUGAAUCAUUGAAUUUAGAAGCGGACAGUUAUUUUUAUUAAACUUUAAUUCAGGACUUUUAGUGGCAUUAGCGACAAAAGUAAACCAGUCCAAUAAGUCCAGACCCAGUCCAGUCCACACGUCUGAUUACCUAUAAAUGCCGACACCACAUUAUGCCCAUACACAAUGUGUUCCAAACAAGACUGAAGUUGACGAAAACAAACACACCCUCCUGACAACCCAAGCCACACACAGAUGUAGAGAAAAUCCAAGACAAAGUUUUUUGUUCUCAACAAGUGAAAGGACGAAUUUUGGUACAGAGACAAGGAAUAAACACAGCAGUUGCAGAAGGAACCAGAACCAGGAGAGGAUUACGAAGGAGAGUCAAGCAGUGAGCCUCAGGCAAGACGAACAGAUCACACACACACACACACACACACACACACACAUCACAGACAGUUUACGUCUCCUACCUCCUCCGUUUGUUUCAUCUUAGGGCUUCCAGUUGGAAUGAGAAGAAGCUGCAAAAAGUUCUCAUCUCUCUACAUCAGGUCCGCGGACUCGUAAAAAGGCUUAAUUUUAAAUCCCACUGAUUUUUUGUUUUUUUUUUGUUUUGAUAUAUAACUCGGGAAAUAAGAAAAUACCAAAGUCACUAUCUAACAAUUUCUUUCUUCAGUUUUACCCAAAGUGUGGUGCGUGCUACCCUGAGGGUACGCCAGAUGCCACUAGAGGGUGCACAAGAUAAAAAUGUGAAGUCAAGAAUUUAAGGCUUUAACUAAAGGCUUAAUGGAUGUCCUAUGUGUAUUCUGAUCAUUUAAGGAUGAGUAAACACGAUGCCUUUAUAAGAAAGCUUGUUGUAGUACUGCCUUUAACCCAGUACUUCUCAAAAAGUCCUGGGGGGAGGAAUAUCGCACACUGGACAUAAGUGGACCACUGCUGUAAUGCUUGAAUGAUAAGAAGCCUCCAGUCACUAGGUGGCAGCACCUCAUACAGUGGUUUGUACAAAUAAAAAAUAUACGUUAUCAGGUUCUCAUAGUAAAGACAUGACAGAAACUAAUUGAGAACCACUGCGUCAACACAAACAGCUGCCUAUAUCGACAUCGCUUAAUAUCAGAAUUGGAAAUUGAAUGUUUGGACAACGCAGGCAAAAAGUAAAUAUCAGACAUCUCAGUUUGUUGAACUGAUGGUAAAAGCAGCAGCAGCAGUAACAAGUCGGACACAGCAGUAGUCUGGUAGGCACCAGUGAGUAUAUUAUCUGUUUCCAGUCAUACAGGACAAUAACACAAACCACAGAGGCAUUGCUAUCUGUCAGGGCAACUUACCCAAAUAACUCUUCUGUAUAUAACUCUCUCUAAUAUGCAGAUAUACAUUUUUUUUUCAAUUUUUUCUUAUUAAACCUCUCAUUCUCCAAUCAUAAAAAGUAUUCACGUUUAACUUUUUUUUUUAUAACAGAAACAAACUUUUGAUUUCACCAUGCUGUCGUUGUGAUACAAGCUCUAUUAACAAGAUUUGACACCAUCAUUACUACUUUGCAUCAGUACACAAUUACAAAAAAAGAAAAUGUAACCUGACGUUGAUGAAAUGCCCGUCAUUUCCCACAGGCUGAGGAGGAGGACUUUACCAGUGAAACUCUACCUUUGUCGGAGGACAAAGAAGCUAAUAUGCAUACUGUCAUAGUCGUACAUGUAUUGCAAAAUGGCACUAAAGGGCUGCCUUGGU
Cynoglossus semilaevis (tongue sole) is the source of this 1817-nucleotide long non-coding RNA. RefSeq lists it as uncharacterized. The record is from RefSeq and is a predicted model, not a curated record. The transcript is spliced from 2 exons. Lineage: Eukaryota; Metazoa; Chordata; Actinopteri; Pleuronectiformes; Cynoglossidae.